Molecule: long non-coding RNA, 883 nt
Organism: Cavia porcellus (domestic guinea pig)
Lineage: Eukaryota; Metazoa; Chordata; Mammalia; Rodentia; Caviidae
Exons: 2
Source: RefSeq, a predicted model, not a curated record
CAGCCACCUCACUGGUUCUUGGCCUGGCUCAUUCCGUUGUGUUGUGUCCCCUGGUCCCCGCCUGCAGUCCCAGGAGCUUGGAAAUUCACAAGGCAGGAUUCUGACAAAACUGCUCAACAGUUGAGUCACCUGAAAAAUGGCAGGAAACAAGGACAGCUCGGCUUCCAGGCGUCACAAACACCUCUGUGCCUGUGACAGUCUGUACCAGGCUCACAGCGUCCCAGGAGCCCUGAGCAGCGGGAUUGCAAGUCACAGUCAGGCGGGCACCCCAACUGCUGCCGUGGGGCCCACCUGGUGAAGACACCAUGCACAUUGCUCUGCUGUGGGCCCUCAUGACACCACACAGGGCACCAACUGCUGACUGGAAGCAGGGCCUGUCAGGAAACAACAUCCUGUUACACAGCCGUGACUGCCUGUCUUUGGAAUCCUGCUUCCUGCCCAGGGAGCCUGCUGCUUGUUGAGCGGGGCAAAGCCAGGCCACAGCCCUCACUUCUCCCGGGGGCUGGAGAAGCCAGUGUGAGAUGUCCGGGAACUUUUUAGUGACAAGUGACUUCACAAAAGGUGGGUAAUGGGAGUACAAGUGUAGAAUGACAUAUAGGCCCUUGGUGAGCAAAUGGAGGACAGUUGUCCCUCAUAAGUCCUGAGCUUCUGACUCUGCUCCCCUGGAUGUGACCUGUCUUUGUGGUGCUGAUUCUCAGAUAUUUUCCACUUAAGAUCCAUCAUCUGUUCUUGAACCCCAGAACUUCUGUAUAAAAAUAUUAACCAGGAAACAAUUCCUGCUAUUUCAUUUUGUUUUUCCAGAUUUAUUGAGGUAUUAUUGUAUAUACUGAGUUUUAUGUAACAUAUACAAUUGAACACAUGGAAUAAAAAUAUAUAUAUUAAA